Panthera uncia (snow leopard) is the source of this 659-nucleotide long non-coding RNA. RefSeq lists it as uncharacterized. The transcript is spliced from 5 exons. Lineage: Eukaryota; Metazoa; Chordata; Mammalia; Carnivora; Felidae. The record is from RefSeq and is a predicted model, not a curated record.
UCACAAUGCAGACAGCUCUGUCUUGUGGCCCUGACAUCUCAACACACAUUCUUCAGGGCAUCUGAAAUAUUGAUCAAGGAUUUUUCAUUCUUUUCCCAAAAUUGACACACAAGGGCUUCUGCUCACAGGUCACUGGCCAUUACUAGUUACACAGCCUUGCCAAGCUGGAGAAGAGCUGGGAGGUGGUUUUUGAUAUAUCCAGAAAUGACAAGAUCACCAGCUAUUGCUCUCAUAAAUCAGUGGAAGAAUUUAUAAUUGAUCAAGCCUGGAAAUAGCUUUGCUGUCUACCUACCUGGAGGACAGGAGUCUACCCUCCCAAGAUUACUACCUCCCAGGGUACGUGAUUUGUGACAGUUGGUGUGUUAGGAGUGGUCUGCAAAAUGAUUCAACAAUAAGAUUUGGGAGCUGGAUCAUCCAUGAGCCAGUUAAUAAUAACUCCUAUCAACUGAUGUUGGCAAUUCCUUGGAAGAAUAGAGCUACAGUUUCCAAAUGUAUCAAAAUCUUAAAAAUACAGCUUGCACCCGUUGAACUUUAUUUUCUCCUCUCUGGAAGCAAACACAUCAUCUUCCCAAUGAAGACUUCCCUGGUCCUUCAAGACUACACUACCUACCCUUCCUAUAGGCUUCCCCAGCAUCCAAGUGAAUGUUUGAUAAACUUUA